Pelobates cultripes (western spadefoot toad) is the source of this 234-nucleotide non-coding RNA. The record is from the annotation of a GenBank genome assembly. Lineage: Eukaryota; Metazoa; Chordata; Amphibia; Anura; Pelobatidae.
UUAAAGAGGUCUGACUCCACCCUCUGAUGCUCUGAUGAGAUCCAACACUAUGUUCAAGAUCUAGCGGCCCGAUGGAAAGCUACUGGAUUGUGACAAACGGUCCUUCCCAUGUGCGUAUGCCACAGACUCCUGGAGGAGUGUGGAAGCCGGCCUCCUGCCCACUGACUAUGGUCCAGAGCAUGGACAAUGUUUGGGAGCUACCCUGCCCAGCCACCAUUAGCAGCUUGCCUUGGG